Molecule: long non-coding RNA, 202 nt
Filed under: Hordeum vulgare
Lineage: Eukaryota; Viridiplantae; Streptophyta; Magnoliopsida; Poales; Poaceae
Description: long non-coding RNA (HVUL_LNC005105)
Source: RNAcentral
ACCACUUGUGGUACCUACUAAAAGUGUUUGAGAGAUGAUGCUACCAAGUUACUUGCUUAGUUUCUUACCCCCCUCCAGUUUUCCUUAGGUUUAAGGGCAUGAUGUUGUUGUAAAUGAAGUGGAAUAUAUGUGAGAGUGUGCACCAUCACAAGCCCAUAUGUGGAGGUGUGCAUACUCUCUUGUUCGCUUGGAGUCCCAUUGU